UUNUGAACUGGGUGACUAGAGUGUNUCAGAGGGAGGUAGAAUUCCACGUGUAGCAGUGAAAUGCGUAGAGAUGUGGAGGAAUACCGAUGGCGAAGGCAGCCUCCUGGGAUAACACUGACGUUCAUGCUNGAAAGCGUGGGUAGCAAACAGGAUUAGAUACCCUGGUAGCCCACGCCCUAAACGAUGUCAAUUAGCUGUUGGGCAACUUGAUUGCUUAGUAGCGUAGCUAACGCGUGAAAUUGACCGCCUGGGGAGUACGGUCGCAAGAUUAAAACUCAAAGGAAUUGACGGGGACCCGCACAAGCGGUGGAUGAUGUGGAUUAAUUCGAUGCAACGCGAAGAACCUUACCUGGUCUUGACAUGUACGGAAUCCUCCAGAGACGGAGGAGUGCCUUCGGGAGCCGUAACACAGGUGCUGCAUGGCUGUCGUCAGCUCGUGUCGUGAGAUGUUGGGUUAAGUCCCGCAACGAGCGCAACCCUUGUCAUUAGUUGCCAUCAUUUAGUUGGGCACUCUAAUGAGACUGCCGGUGACAAGCCGGAGGAAGGUGGGGAUGACGUCAAGUCCUCAUGGCCCUUAUGACCAGGGCUUCACACGUCAUACAAUGGUCGGUACAGAGGGUAGCCAAGCCGCGAGGUGGAGCCAAUCUCACAAAACCGAUCGUAGUCCGGAUUGCACUCUGCAACUCGAGUGCAUGAAGUCGGAAUCGCUAGUAAUCGCAGGUCAGCAUACUGCGGUGAAUACGUUCCCGGGUCUUGUACACACCGCCCGUCACACCAUGGGAGUGGGGGAUACCAGAAG
RNAcentral lists this ribosomal RNA (799 nucleotides) under uncultured bacterium. RNAcentral's name for it is "bacterial SSU rRNA". It matches the Rfam family "Bacterial small subunit ribosomal RNA", at positions 626 to 1426 of the family's 1533-position model. The record is from RNAcentral.